This 255-nucleotide ribosomal RNA is filed under the name uncultured bacterium. RNAcentral's name for it is "partial 16S ribosomal RNA". It matches the Rfam family "Bacterial small subunit ribosomal RNA", at positions 524 to 777 of the family's 1533-position model. The record is from RNAcentral.
UACGAAGGGGGCUAGCGUUGCUCGGAAUCACUGGGCGUAAAGCGCACGUAGGCGGAUCUUUAAGUCAGGGGUGAAAUCCCAAGGCUCAACCUUGGAACUGCCUUUGAUACUGGGGGAUCUCGAGUCCGGAAGAGGUGAGUGGAACUGCGAGUGUAGAGGUGAAAUUCGUAGAUAUUCGCAAGAACACCAGUGGCGAAGGCGGCUCACUGGUCCGGUACUGACGCUGAGGUGCGAAAGCGUGGGGAGCAAACAGGG